GGACGGUAUCUUCCGGGUAUUUCUCAUGGACACCACAUAUACACACGACGACCUGACUUGUAGGACCUUGGUAGUACUGUUCUAGUGUCACAUAUCAAACCCCGUCCACAAUGAUAUACUUCAUAUUGGAUGCAAGAUUCACACCAGAUAGGAAUGCUAAUAACUGUAUUUCACCUCCUUUAAUUCAGAUUGACCAACUGCUCCUGGUCAUAUCCCCCUCCCCCACACAUGUAUGCACGCUUAAACAUAUUGGCGUAUACUAACAUACGUACUUACCAAUUAUUUAACACACUUAGGUUUUUUUAACCUAUCUUGCGAUAUCAUAUAGGUUCUCGGGCUGACAGAUUAACCUCACCCAAGGCAGCUAUCGAAG
Non-coding RNA from Pelobates cultripes (western spadefoot toad), 373 nucleotides. Lineage: Eukaryota; Metazoa; Chordata; Amphibia; Anura; Pelobatidae. The record is from the annotation of a GenBank genome assembly.